This 858-nucleotide ribosomal RNA is filed under the name uncultured bacterium. Its description in RNAcentral is "SSU rRNA". It matches the Rfam family "Bacterial small subunit ribosomal RNA", at positions 524 to 1381 of the family's 1533-position model. The record is from RNAcentral.
UACGAAGGGACCUAGCGUAAUUCGGAAUUACUGGGCGUAAAGCGCGCGUAGGCGGUUAAGUAAGUUAAUUGUGAAAGCCCAAAGCUCAACUUUGGAAUUGCAAUUAAAACUACUUAGCUAGAGUUUAUCAGAGGAAAGCGGAAUGCAUAGUGUAGAGGUGAAAUUCGUAGAUAUUAUGUAGAACACCAGUUGCGAAGGCGGCUUUCUGGGAUAACACUGACGCUGAGGUGCGAAAGUAUGGGUAGCGAAGAGGAUUAGAUACCCUCGUAGUCCAUACCGUAAACGAUGAUUGUUAGAUGUUGGAAAUUUAUUUUCAGUAUCACAGCUAACGCGUUAAACAAUCCGCCUGGGGAGUACGACCGCAAGGUUAAAACUCAAAUGAAUUGACGGGGACCCGCACAAGCGGUGGAGCAUGUGGUUUAAUUCGAAGCUACGCGCAGAACCUUACCAACACUUGACAUGUCUGUCGCGGAUUCCAGAGAUGGUUUCCUUCGGUUCGGCCGGACGAAACACAGGUGCUGCAUGGCUGUCGUCAGCUCGUGUCGUGAGAUGUUGGGUUAAGUCCCGCAACGAGCGCAACCCCUACUUUUAGUUGCCAUCAGGUUAAGCUGGGCACUCUAAUAGAACUGCCUGUGAUAAACAGGAGGAAGGUGGGGAUGACGUCAAGUCCUCAUGGCCCUUACGGGUUGGGCUACACACGUGCUACAAUGGUAAGUACAAUGAGAUGCCGAACAGCGAUGUUUAGCCAAACUCAAAAACUUACCUCAGUUCGGAUUGCACUCUGCAACUCGAGUGCAUGAAGCUGGAAUCGCUAGUAAUCGUGGAUCAGCGUGCCACGGUGAAUACGUUCCCGGGUCU